GCUGCUGUAGCUCAGCUGGUAGAGCAACUGAUUCGUAAUCAGUAGGUCGAGUGUUCGAGUCACUCCAGCAGCACCA
This 76-nucleotide transfer RNA is filed under the name Betaproteobacteria bacterium. RNAcentral's name for it is "tRNA-Thr". It matches the Rfam family "tRNA". Rfam says of the family: Transfer RNA (tRNA) molecules are approximately 80 nucleotides in length. Their secondary structure includes four short double-helical elements and three loops (D, anti-codon, and T loops). Further hydrogen bonds mediate the characteristic L-shaped molecular structure. tRNAs have two regions of fundamental functional importance: the anti-codon, which is responsible for specific mRNA codon recognition, and the 3' end, to which the tRNAs corresponding amino acid is attached (by aminoacyl-tRNA synthetases). tRNAs cope with the degeneracy of the genetic code in two manners: having more than one tRNA (with a specific anti-codon) for a particular amino acid; and 'wobble' base-pairing, i.e. permitting non-standard base-pairing at the 3rd anti-codon position. Lineage: Bacteria; Pseudomonadati; Pseudomonadota; Betaproteobacteria. The record is from RNAcentral.